Mercenaria mercenaria is the source of this 519-nucleotide long non-coding RNA. RefSeq lists it as uncharacterized. Lineage: Eukaryota; Metazoa; Mollusca; Bivalvia; Venerida; Veneridae. The transcript is spliced from 4 exons. The record is from RefSeq and is a predicted model, not a curated record.
AUCUAAUACGUCUGUGCACUUUAUAUUUCUUUUUGUAGUGUGAAGUAACAGUAGCACAGAAUGGCUGGAGACCAUUAACUUGAGAACUGAAGAGAUGCAGGUCUUUGUUCUAUAUGGUGAUUGAUGGAACUAUGGUGCAGUUUUGAAUUUAUAAGGUGUGAAGUUACAGAAAAGCAGAAUAGCUACAGACCAUUAAAUUUAGAAAAUGAAGAGAUGCAUGUCUCUGUUCAGCAUGGUGUUUAUGGGAAACAUUGUAGGUCACAGACCUCUGUUCAGCAUGGUGUAUAUGGGAAACAUUGUGGGUCACAGACAUGAAAUGGUUUGUGUGAAGUAACAGUAAAGCAGAAUGGCUACAGACAAUUAGUUCAGAAUUGAAGAAGAGAUGCAGGUCUUUGUUCUAUAUGGUGUAUGAGGGAACCAUGGUGGAAAUUUGGAUUUCAUGGCAGUCAUAGAAAUAUCUAAUAAGUCUGUAGGAAAGUGAUGUGUGUACCAGUCUGUCAGACUUUUACCUGUCUGCCC